RNAcentral lists this ribosomal RNA (392 nucleotides) under uncultured bacterium. Its description in RNAcentral is "partial 16S ribosomal RNA". It matches the Rfam family "Bacterial small subunit ribosomal RNA", at positions 523 to 918 of the family's 1533-position model. The record is from RNAcentral.
AUACGUAUGUCGCAAGCGAUAUCCGGAUUUAUUGGGCGUAAAGCGCGUCUAGGCGGCUUAGUAAGUCUGAUGUGAAAAUGCGGGGCUCAACCCCGUAUUGCGUUGGAAACUGCUAAACUAGAGUACUGGAGAGGUAGGCGGAACUACAAGUGUAGAGGUGAAAUUCGUAGAUAUUUGUAGGAAUGCCGAUGGGGAAGCCAGCCUACUGGACAGAUACUGACGCUAAAGCGCGAAAGCGUGGGUAGCAAACAGGAUUAGAUACCCUGGUAGUCCACGCCGUAAACGAUGAUUACUAGGUGUUGGGGGUCGAACCUCAGCGCCCAAGCUAACGCGAUAAGUAAUCCGCCUGGGGAGUACGUACGCAAGUAUGAAACUCAAAGGAAUUGACGGGG